Molecule: ribosomal RNA, 478 nt
Filed under: uncultured bacterium
Lineage: Bacteria
Description: partial 16S ribosomal RNA
Rfam family: Bacterial small subunit ribosomal RNA
Source: RNAcentral
GACGAACGCUGGCGGCAUGCCUAACACAUGCAAGUCGAGCGAGCAGAUCCCUUCGGGGUGAAGCUAGCGGCGGACGGGUGAGUAACACGUGGGCAACCUGCCUCAUAGAGGGGAAUAACCUUCCGAAAGGAAGAUUAAUACCGCAUAACAUUACAGCUUCGCAUGAAGCAGUAAUUAAAGGAGCAAUCCGCUAGGAGAUGGGCCCGCGGCGGAUUAGCUAGUUGGUGAGGUAACGGGUCACCAAGGCGACGAUGCGUAGCCGACCUGAGAGGGUGAUCGGCCACAUUGGGACUGAGACACGGCCCAGACUCCUACGGGAGGCAGCAGUGGGGAAUAUUGCACAAUGGGGGAAACCCUGAUGCAGCAAUGCCGCGUGAGUGAUGACGGCCUUCGGGUUGUAAAGCUCUGUCUUCGGGGACGAUAAUGACGGUACCCGAGGAGGAAGCCACGGCUAACUACGUGCCAGCCGCCGCCGUAA